Molecule: ribosomal RNA, 2156 nt
Filed under: Oenococcus oeni
Lineage: Bacteria; Bacillati; Bacillota; Bacilli; Lactobacillales; Lactobacillaceae
Description: bacterial LSU rRNA
Rfam family: Bacterial large subunit ribosomal RNA
Source: RNAcentral
GGUUGAAGGUGGGGUAAUACCUACUGGAGGACCGAACAAGUGGGUGUUAAAAAACCCUUUGAUGAACUGUGGAUAGCGGUGAAAUUCCAAUCGAACUCGGAGAUAGCUGGUUCUAUCCGAAAUACAUUUAGGUGUAGCCUUGCAAUUAGCUUACUGGAGGUAGAGCACUAUUUGGUCUAGGGGCCCUUCAAGGGUUACCAAAAUCAGAUAAACUCCGAAUGCCAGCUAAGUAUGUGCAGGAGUCAGACGGUGAGUGAUAAGAUCCAUCGUCAAAAGGGGAACAGCCCAGAUCACCAGUUAAGGUCCCUAAAUAUAUGCUAAGUGGAAAACGUUGUGAAGGUGCAUAGACAACUAGGAGGUUGGCUCAGAAGCAGCCACCCUUUAAAGAGUGCGUAAUAGCUCACUAGUCGAGUGCUCUUGCGCGGAUAAUGUACCGGGGCUAAGCAUAUUACCGAAACUGUGGAUGCGUAAGCAUGGUAGGAUAGCGUAAUUAACGCGAUGAAGGAUGACCGUAAGGACAUGUUGGAGCGUUAACUAGUGAGAAUUCCGGUAUGAGUAGCGAAAGAUAGGUGAGAAUCCUAUCCACCGAAUGAGUAAGGUUUCCCCCGGAAGGCUCGUCCGCGGGGGGUUAGUCGGGACCUAAGGCGAGGCUGAAAAGCGUAGUCGAUGGACAACAGGUUGAUAUUCCUGUACCGAUAUUUAAUUGCCGAAGGAAGGACGCAGAAGGAUAACACAGGCCACUAUUGGAUGUGGUUUUAAACAGUUAGUCUUCAUAAGAGUCAAAUGCUUUUAUGUUUAAGGAUAAGCUGUGAAUGUACCAAGUUUACUUGGAAAUUGUGUGAUUUCACGCUGCUGAAAAAAGUUUCGUAGGAAGAAAAUAUUGCCCGUACCGCAAACCGACACAGGUACUCAAGUGGAGAACACUAAGGUGAGCGAGUGAACUAUUGUUAAGGAACUCUGCAAAAUGAGUCCGUAACUUCGGAAGAAGGACUGCUGGUUUUAUACCAGCCGCAGCAAAUAGGCCCAAACAACUGUUUAUCAAAAACACAGGUUUCUGCAAAAUCGUAAGAUGAAGUAUAGGGGCUGACGCCUGCCCAGUGCUGGAAGGUUAAAAGGAGGACUUAGCUUCGGCGAAGGUCUUAAUUGAAGCCCCAGUGAACGGCGGCCGUAACUAUAACGGUCCUAAGGUAGCGAAAUUCCUUGUCGGGUAAGUUCCGACCCGCAUGAAAGGCGUAAUGAUUUGGGCGCUGUCUCAACAAUAGACUCGGUGAAAUUUAAAUUCCAGUGAAGAUGCUGGGUACCCGCGACAGGACGGAAAGACCCCGUGGAGCUUUACUGUAGCUUGAUAUUGAAUGUUUGUGCUGCAUGUGCAGGAUAGGUAGGAGACUUUGAAGUCGGAACGCUAGUUUCGAUUGAGUCACCCUUGAGAUACUACCUCUGUUGUAUGAACGUUCUAACUCUGAUCAGUUAUCCUGAUCGAAGACAGUGUCUGGCAGGCAGUUUGACUGGGGCGGUCGCCUCCUAAAAGAUAACGGAGGCGCUCAAAGGUUUGCUCAGAAUGGUUGGAAAUCAUUCGUAGCGUGUAAAGGCAUAAGCAAGCUUGACUGUGAGACUGACAAGUCGAGCAGGUACGAAAGUAGGACUUAGUGAUCCGGUGGUUCCGUAUGGAAGGGCCAUCGCUCAACGGACAAAAGCUACCCCGGGGAUAACAGGCUCAUCUCCCCCAAGAGUCCACAUCGACGGGGAGGUUUGGCACCUCGAUGUCGGCUCAUCGCAUCCUGGGGCUGUAGUCGGUCCCAAGGGUUGGGCUGUUCGCCCAUUAAAGCGGUACGCGAGCUGGGUUCAGAACGUCGUGAGACAGUUCGGUCCCUAUCCGUCGUGGGCGCAGGAAAUUUGAGAGGAUCUGUCCUUAGUACGAGAGGACCGGGAUGGACAUACCUCUGGUGUACCAGUUGUUCUGCCAAGAGCACCGCUGGGUAGCUACGUAUGGAUUAGAUAAUCGCUGAAAGCAUCUAAGUGAGAAACUAACCUCGAGAUGAGAUUUCCCAUUCGUCAGAAGUAAGACCCCUGAGAGACGAUCAGGUAGAUAGGCUAGAAGUGGAAGUGUAGUGAUGCAUGGAGCGGACUAGUACUAAUAGGUCGAGGACUUAACCAAG